CCCUUAGACACUCUAGGCGGCACGCGCGCUACAAUGGGUGGAAGACCGUGUUACUGCCUUCGAAAGAAGGGGUGAAUCACGAAUUCUUACCCGUGAAUGGGAUAGUUUGUUGCAAUUUUCGGACUUGAACUGGGAAUCCCUUGUAAGCAUGCUCAAGAAUAGCGUGUUGAAUACGUCCCUGCCGUUUGUACACACCGCCCGUCGUUUCUUCCGACUGAUACUCAUUGUGAGUUGCAAGGACGCUUCACUGUGAAAUUGCUGCGAAUGCUUUGUAUUGGAGGAAGAAAAAGUCGUAACA
This 298-nucleotide ribosomal RNA is filed under the name uncultured eukaryote. RNAcentral describes it as "partial 18S ribosomal RNA". It matches the Rfam family "Eukaryotic small subunit ribosomal RNA", at positions 1470 to 1796 of the family's 1831-position model. The record is from RNAcentral.